Pelobates cultripes (western spadefoot toad) is the source of this 1441-nucleotide non-coding RNA. Lineage: Eukaryota; Metazoa; Chordata; Amphibia; Anura; Pelobatidae. The record is from the annotation of a GenBank genome assembly.
CUGUCAAUCUCACAUACACAAGUCUUUCAAGGAUCUUGGAUGCAAAAGGCAGUAGUAAGAUAGGGUGGUAGUUGGACAUGGAGUUAGGGUCAAGGUUGGGCUUUUUUAGAAUUGGGGUUACAGUUGCAUGUUUGAAGGGUAAUGGAAAUAUGCCAGAGGAGAAGGAGAGAUUGAGAAUUUUAGUGAGAGGCAAAAGAAGAGAAGGAGACGGAGUACGGAUGAGAUGAGAGGGAAUAGGAUCAAGGGGAGCAGGUGGUGGGGCGGGAGGACUGGAGCAGAUCAGAAACCUCUUCCACCGUUGGAAGUUAGGUUGGGGCGAAAUAUUGUAAGGGGAAGGAGAGAGAUGAGAGAUCUCUUCCCUGAUUGUAGAGAUCUUGUCCGUAAAGUCAGUUGCAAAGUUUGUGGUUAAGUCUGUAGAAAGAGGAGGAGUAACAGGGCGAAGAAGUGAGUUAAAAGUGUGAAAUAGUCGUUUGGGUUCGCAGGAGAGUGUGGUGAUGAGGGUAUUGAAAUUAUUUACUUUUGAAGAGGAAAGAGCCAAGCUGUAAGAGAGCAGCAUAAAUUUAUAGUGGAGAAAGUCAGAUAUGGAGUGAGACUUUCUCCAGCAGCGUUCAGCAGACAUAAAGUGAUGAUCAUAUGGUAUCCAAGGGAAUAAAGGUGUGAGAAACAAGACAAAUAUAUUUUGCUGCUUUUAACUUGACUGUGUUGCCCCCUGUCACUCUACUUCUUAGGGGACUGUAUGAGGGCUUUUUUUAUUCCUAAUUUCCUUAUACUUUCGGCAGAAAAGAAUACUCUGUGUUCGAGCUGCGACCGGUUUAUUUGGGCUUUUUACCUCUGUAAUCUUUGUUGCCUGUUGGUGCACACUAAGCACCCAAUACGAUAGUUUUGGCAAGAAGAGUGUGGUAUUUUUGGCCACACAAAGUCUUUUAUGAAGUCAACUGCUAAGGCAAUCUGUAUCACAUUAUUUAGAACUGCUGAAAUAAUAAAUCUAUCUGUAAUCCAGUGCCAGCACAGACUCCUCACUGCAGCCCAGUCCAUCCACAGUGAAAUCCUUAAACUUGAUCUCUGUCUAGUCCAAUGCUUCUUAUAGAGAAGCAUUGAGUGCAUACAAGCUAACCAAACCAGGAAGUGACACUAUCUGGAGGAUGUAAUCUUUUGAAAUCUGCAAUAUUUCCAAAAUGAAAAAGAGGUCAUACUCUUCACACAUAAAGCUGCAAGCUGAAGUGCUUUAGGGAUCUGGAGUGUCCCUUUAAGAUGUAGUAGUUAUGGUGUUUACAUUUUGUUUUGUAAAAUACAUACUUUGUAACUUAUCGUAUCGUAUUCCAGGAUGUCAAGGCACUGUCUGCAUACAGUACUUCUAUGGUGCACCGCAUCGCACCUUGAAAGGAAUUUCUGUACUUAUGGGCAUCAUACAAGUGAUGUAAUGAUGAUGCCUCACACCUGG